RNAcentral lists this ribosomal RNA (578 nucleotides) under uncultured Actinomycetes bacterium. RNAcentral describes it as "bacterial SSU rRNA". It matches the Rfam family "Bacterial small subunit ribosomal RNA", at positions 918 to 1498 of the family's 1533-position model. The record is from RNAcentral. Lineage: Bacteria; Bacillati; Actinomycetota; Actinomycetes.
GCCCCGCACCAAGCGGCGGGAGCAAUGCGGAUUAAUUCGAUGCAACGCGGAAGACCCUUACCCAAGGUUUGACAAUAUACCGGAAACGGCCAGAAAUGUUCGCCCCGCAAGGUCGGUAUACAGGUGGUGCAUGGUUGUCGUCAGCUCGUGUCGUGAGAUGUUGGGUUAAGUCCCGCAACGAGCGCAACCCUCGUCCUAUGUUGCCAGCACGUAAUGGUGGGAACUCAUGGGAUACUGCCGGGGUCAACUCGGAGGAAGGUGGGGAUGACGUCAAAUCAUCAUGCCCCUUAUGUCUUGGGCUUCACGCAUGCUACAAUGGCCGGUACAAAGGGCUGCAAUACCGCAAGGUGGAGCGAAUCCCGAAAAGCCGUUCUCAGUUCGGAUCGGAGUCUGCAACUCGACUCCGUGAAGCUGGAAUCACUAGUAAUCGCGCAUCAGCAAUGGCGCGGUGAAUACGUUCCCGGGCCUUGUACACACCGCCCGUCAAGCCAUGGAAGUUUGGUAGACCUGAAGCUGGUGCUUGUCACAGAAGCCAGUUAGGGUAGAACAGGUAACUAGGGCUAAGUCGUAACAAGGUA